Molecule: non-coding RNA, 18 nt
Filed under: Callorhinchus milii (elephant shark)
Lineage: Eukaryota; Metazoa; Chordata; Chondrichthyes; Chimaeriformes; Callorhinchidae
Also listed under: 1 other name
Source: RNAcentral
GUGUGUGUGUGUGUGUGU